This is a long non-coding RNA of Pipra filicauda (Wire-tailed manakin), 1930 nucleotides long. RefSeq lists it as uncharacterized. The transcript has 5 exons. NCBI's taxonomy places the organism in Eukaryota, Metazoa, Chordata, Aves, Passeriformes, Pipridae. The record is from RefSeq and is a predicted model, not a curated record.
CGCCACUCCCGCGCGCCCGCCCCCGCCCCGCCCCGGCGCCGGCACCUGAGGCGCUGAGGGGGCGGAACGUGUGGGAGGGACCGGGAGCGGAGUGUAGGCGCGAUACGCUCUCGCUGUUUCUCCCUCUUUCUCCUUUUUUUUUCUCCGUUUUUCUCCCUCUUUCUCCCUCUGUCCUUGUCGCUGUCCCCGGGAGCUGCGGGGCCGUUCCUGAGGGUACCGCCCUCUGCCCGUCCCGCUCGCCCUCAGCGGCCCCGGGGCCCUGAGGGCGCCGUGCCCGGAGAUGGCACCCGAGCGGUGCAGCCGCUUCGGACCGGUCAGGACACCGGAGAGAGGGGACAAAGCGGGACUGAAACUUUCCUCCCCCGAGACGAGAAGCAGAAAUGCGAAACGUUGGGAUAAUUAAAUGCAGUUGUCUCGGAGGGGCUCAAGAAUGAUGCAGUGCUAUGGUGGAGUGGCCUCGCAGUCCUUCAUCAGCAGGGAAGGCUGGAGACGCUUCUUCAGGCCCAAAGUCUUCAAGCAAAAUGACCUGCUCCAACAUCAGUGAUGUCCACAGUGGAGCUGAUUAUGUCAGACACAAAAGAAAAGAGAGGCCUGGCCCAAAACCAGUGUCUGGUUUACAAGUCCAUGGGACCGUCUCUUCAACACUUCACUUGACACUGGAUGAUGUGACAUCUUGAAUAGCAACAAAAGCACAAUUAAGGGUUAAUUAAAGGUGGUGGGGAUAUGGAAGAUUUUUGUGGCUGUGGCUUCGACAGAGCCUCAACAACCACAAGGAGCAGUUCUACAGAAGCCAUCAAUCUUCACCACAGAAGGAGAGUUUGGAAAUGUUGUAUGCCAUAACUAAUACAAUGCAAUUUUGGCUCUUGAACUUCAGGUGCUAAAAAGGCUUAAACGAGGCCAGGAAUACGGGUUCCCUGUCUGCAGUGCAGCAUGGAAUAAUUUCAUUUCAAGAAGCAAACAUGAAACAUUCAUGGCUGUCAAGUGCAAAUAGGCCUAAUUUCAGUUGUUGAUCUCUCUUUUUGGGCACUCUGCUAGGAGAGCAGCAGAUACACUCCCAGUCAGAAACAAGGGUUGUAGAUUUACUAACCCAGCACACCAAGUGAACUGGUUUGCCAAGUCUAACCAACCUGCUCUGCUCUCCGUGCAGCCCGAACACAACCCUCCACACACCUUGCCUUCAGGUUAAAGGAAGCUCCCCUCUCUGCAAGUGUAUCCAGUUGCUCUUUUCUUGCCUAACUCCACAGUUUUGGGGUUUGUUGGAAUACAUCCAUGCUCCAGAUACAAAACUGGGUAUACACAGAAGGUGGUUUGUAUGUCUUGCUGUCCUUCCAGUCUCUGGAGCAGUUCUUAGCCAUGAAAGUCAUGUGCAGUGUCUGUCUUCUUCUGUAGAGGUGGAACCAAUGCUCUGGUCCAUCUAAGGGGGCCUCAGUAGAAAUUAUCAAGGAGAUUUUAAGCUUGGUGCUCUGUCUCAGUUACUCUGAAAAUCAGGCAACCCCUCUCAUCCCCCCAACAAAGCCCUUUUUCCCCAUGCAAGAGGAGGAGCAGGAUCAGAAUUGUCACUGUUUGGGGACCAGCAGGACACAGAGGCACACAGUUCCAAAACUGAGAAUGUUUUAGCUGAAACAACCUAAAUUCCUUGUUUUACUGAGCUGCUUGAUUUCCCUCCCUAACACCUCCUGAGACAGCACUAUCAGCAGCCAUUAAACUCCUUGGUUACUCCCUCUGAAACAGAAGUUUCCUCAUCUCUACCAGGACUGAUUUAACCAAACACUGGGUCUGGUGGCCCUUUGCAAGUGCUGGGCUGGGAUGAGCCUGAAUCACUACAGAAAAACAGUUAAAAACAAACAAAAUGCUCCAUAGGCCAAAGUUUUACCUACCAAUAGCAAAACUAUUCACAUUUGGAAAAAGUCUAAUAUAAUCUCUGAAGGCU